GUUGGGCAUGGUGGCUCACACCUGCAAUCUCAGCUUCCACGGAAGCUAAGGCUGGCAGAUCUCUUGAGUUUAGGAGUUAUGGGCUGCAAUGGGCUAAACUAAUCAGGUGUCUGAACCAAGUCUGGCUAAAUUAAGAUGGUGAGCUCCUCAGGAUGGGAGGAGACCAGGUAGCCUAAGGAAGCUCGAACCGAGCCAGGUAAGAAAUGAAACAGGUCAAAGCUCCCUUGCUCAUCAGAGGGUGCCUGUAAGCAGCCCUACAUUUCCAGCUUGAGUGAUAUGGAAAGACUCAGUUUUU
Molecule: non-coding RNA, 295 nt
Filed under: Phascolarctos cinereus (koala)
Lineage: Eukaryota; Metazoa; Chordata; Mammalia; Diprotodontia; Phascolarctidae
Source: RNAcentral